UAUUCUUAUUCAUUUUUCUUCCUCAGAUCCCAAAACUUCAGGCGACAAGAAUUGCAUCUGUGUAGAUGAUGGAUUCUUGAGGAACAUAUUCAUCACUCGUCGAUACUAAAACCAUUCUUACUCUCAUUAUUCGUUUGAUACUUACGGAAGAAGAAGAUGAUGAUGAUGAUGAAACCCUCAUCUUCUUUGUAUAUCCAACUGACACAAUGAUUUUUCCUCUCAAAGCUAAGAUUUCUUUUUUCAUGAUUCUCCGUGGAUCUCUUCCAAUUUUAGCUUCACUCAAUUGUGCAAAAUGGGCAAUUGAAUCCGCAGGUCUUUGUUCUGAUAAAGUAUCAUCCGAGGAAUCUCCAUGAGUCUCUUCUGCACUGCUCCCGUUAAAUAUAAUUGAAAUAGAUCUAUUACAUACUUCUAGGCUGAUUAGUAACGAUGACUCUCAUUGAUAAGCUGCUCCAAAAGCAACCAAUAUGGUGGUCAUGGUAUAGAAAGAGUUGCAGUACCUGUAUUAUCAUUUUUUGUGGUAAGGGUUUGACAAAAUUGUUUAGAAACAUAAGAAGAUGUUUGGACUCCUAUUCUUGUCGCUUCAGAGUACCUCCCUGCAUGUACUUGAAAGCUACUAGUAUAGUGAGAACAAUUGAAACACCUGUCUAAUUUCACCCUACAUACCCUCUCUGGGUCGGACGCAAAUGUAAUUGCAUUACUUGAAUCGAAUCACUUUUCGUUUCGUUUUGGUGAGUAAUGUACAAAUUUCUGAAACCA
Molecule: long non-coding RNA, 756 nt
Organism: Papaver somniferum (opium poppy)
Lineage: Eukaryota; Viridiplantae; Streptophyta; Magnoliopsida; Ranunculales; Papaveraceae
Exons: 3
Source: RefSeq, a predicted model, not a curated record